ACCUUAGAGACCAACUAAAUUUGUUAUUGGUAUGAGCUUUCGUGUGCAUGCACACUUCUUCAGAUACCAUGUGCAUGCACACAAAAGCUCAUACUAAUAAGAAACUUAGUUGGUCUCUAAGGU
This is a non-coding RNA of Podarcis lilfordi (Lilford's wall lizard), 123 nucleotides long. Lineage: Eukaryota; Metazoa; Chordata; Lepidosauria; Squamata; Lacertidae. The record is from the annotation of a GenBank genome assembly.